UGGAGCGGGUGAUGGGAAUCGAACCCACGCUAUCGGCUUGGAAGGCCGAAGUUCUACCAUUGAACUACACCCGC
Molecule: transfer RNA, 74 nt
Filed under: Francisella tularensis subsp. novicida U112
Lineage: Bacteria; Pseudomonadati; Pseudomonadota; Gammaproteobacteria; Thiotrichales; Francisellaceae
Description: tRNA-Gly
Source: RNAcentral